CCUGAUAGCUCAGUUGGUAAAGAAUCUGCCUGCAAUGCAGGAGACCCUGGUUCGAUUCUUGGGUCAGGA
Molecule: transfer RNA, 69 nt
Filed under: Bos taurus (domestic cattle)
Lineage: Eukaryota; Metazoa; Chordata; Mammalia; Artiodactyla; Bovidae
Also listed under: 5 other names
Rfam family: tRNA
About the family: Transfer RNA (tRNA) molecules are approximately 80 nucleotides in length.
Source: Rfam by way of RNAcentral